CCCCAGCUGAGAUCUAUGAGGCAUUUAAAGUGGGCCAUGCUUUAUUGGUAAGGCAGGUCAAUCAACAUGUAAUUAAUUUUAAUUAGCACUUCAUUAAACUCUUCACAUGCAGCCAGCUGUUAGCUCCACCAACAGCAGCAAAAACCAUGGCAGCUGCUGCAUGUUGACUUCAGUGAAGCAGAUCUUCUUCAGGAGACUGUGAGGAAGCUAGGAAAUGUGGGAUCUCUGCAGGAUUGCAGGAGAUAUUUCAUGGCUUGUUGCAAGCUUGCUGAGAUGCGUUCAUGGGAUAAAUGAAGUUGAAAAUCUACUGUUAAGAGUUGACAAGGAUGACACCGGCUUCAUGCAUCAGCCCAGCUGCUACUGGUGGAUCAGAAAUUUCUCCAUGCCUCUGCUGUUCCUUAACACAAAAAGUGGUCCGAGUGCCGUCUAGCAAGCUGAAUGCCACGUAAAGGCCACUGAAAGGGCAGUGGGCGUAGUGUGAGUACCAUUCCAUCUCUUUUCCAAGACCAUAGCUGUCAGAGGGAGGCAAAGGUGUAAUUCUUCUGCCAGGGAAAACUAGAAACCAGCCUCGAGAUAGCCAGGUGGUGGCUGAGGGCAGAGGAAGGGCAGCACUCAUUCCCUCCUUGGGUAUC
Molecule: long non-coding RNA, 632 nt
Filed under: Numida meleagris (helmeted guineafowl)
Lineage: Eukaryota; Metazoa; Chordata; Aves; Galliformes; Numididae
Description: lncRNA (ENSNMEG00000013334.1)
Source: RNAcentral